CGGGGCGUGGCGCAGNCUGGUAGCGCACUUGCAUGGGGUGCAAGGGGUCGCAGGUUCAAAUCCUGCCGUCCCGACCA
Molecule: transfer RNA, 77 nt
Filed under: Gammaproteobacteria bacterium
Lineage: Bacteria; Pseudomonadati; Pseudomonadota; Gammaproteobacteria
Also listed under: 1 other name
Description: tRNA-Pro
Rfam family: tRNA
About the family: Transfer RNA (tRNA) molecules are approximately 80 nucleotides in length.
Source: RNAcentral